RNAcentral lists this transfer RNA (86 nucleotides) under Actinomycetota bacterium. RNAcentral describes it as "Actinobacteria bacterium (freshwater metagenome) tRNA-Leu". It matches the Rfam family "tRNA". From Rfam's summary of the family: Transfer RNA (tRNA) molecules are approximately 80 nucleotides in length. Their secondary structure includes four short double-helical elements and three loops (D, anti-codon, and T loops). Lineage: Bacteria; Bacillati; Actinomycetota. The record is from RNAcentral.
GGGCGAGUGGCGAAAUGGCAGACGCGCUGGCUUCAGGUGCCAGUGUUCGCAAGGACGUGGGGGUUCAAGUCCCCCCUCGCCCACGA